RNAcentral lists this ribosomal RNA (465 nucleotides) under Vreelandella stevensii. RNAcentral describes it as "partial 16S ribosomal RNA". It matches the Rfam family "Bacterial small subunit ribosomal RNA", at positions 338 to 795 of the family's 1533-position model. Lineage: Bacteria; Pseudomonadati; Pseudomonadota; Gammaproteobacteria; Oceanospirillales; Halomonadaceae. The record is from RNAcentral.
CCUACGGGUAGCAGCAGUGGGGAAUAUUGGACAAUGGGCGAAAGCCUGAUCCAGCCAUGCCGCGUGUGUGAAGAAGGCCUUCGGGUUGUAAAGCACUUUCAGUGGGGAAGAAAGCCUUGGGGCUAAUACCCUCGAGGAAGGACAUCACCCACAGAAGAAGCACCGGCUAACUCCGUGCCAGCAGCCGCGGUAAUACGGAGGGUGCGAGCGUUAAUCGGAAUUACUGGGCGUAAAGCGCGCGUAGGCGGUCUGAUAAGCCGGUUGUGAAAGCCCCGGGCUCAACCUGGGAACGGCAUCCGGAACUGUCAGGCUAGAGUGCAGGAGAGGAAGGUAGAAUUCCCGGUGUAGCGGUGAAAUGCGUAGAGAUCGGGAGGAAUACCAGUGGCGAAGGCGGCCUUCUGGACUGACACUGACGCUGAGGUGCGAAAGCGUGGGUAGCAAACAGGAUUAGAUACCCUAGUAGUC